UGAUGUGUUGUGGGAUGAUCAACUUCUUAGUUGCAUCCAAAUAAUAACAUUUUAAAUUGAGAAGUUAUUACUUUCUGGAAGUUUGCUACAUAGUGAAGGAAAAUGUAGAUGUAAUGCUCAAGAGCCACAGGUGGUCAGUGGCUACUGCAUUAGCCCGCCUAGCUCUGAAAUGAGAGAAGGGUCUGGAAACACAGGAAUCCGGUAGGAUGGGAGACGACAGAAGAACAGAGACAAGGUGGGAACACAGCGCUCACUGCCAAGACCCAGGGGAGCGCAUCCAUCCACUGCGGGUGGAUCGCAAGGUGACUUGGGGGCAGCGCCUAUUAAAUUCCAUUGUGAACAAUGAA
Molecule: long non-coding RNA, 347 nt
Organism: Leopardus geoffroyi (Geoffroy's cat)
Lineage: Eukaryota; Metazoa; Chordata; Mammalia; Carnivora; Felidae
Exons: 2
Source: RefSeq, a predicted model, not a curated record